This 385-nucleotide long non-coding RNA is filed under the name Meriones unguiculatus (Mongolian gerbil). RNAcentral's name for it is "lncRNA (ENSMUGG00000003112.1)". Lineage: Eukaryota; Metazoa; Chordata; Mammalia; Rodentia; Muridae. The record is from RNAcentral.
GCACCCGCGUCCAAGCUUGAAGAGCUGAGUUGGAUCACUAGGACUCACACUGUGGGGUGGAGAGCUGCUGGUUAAGCUGCUUUGUUAUGUUUUCAUCUGGGGAAGUAGCUUUUGAAAAAAAGGUGGUGCUGGUCCAGUCCAUCUGCAGCUGUGGUUAAACUCCGGGUUUAGAAAAGACCAGUAGCUCCGCCAGAAGCAAAUACACGGGACAGGUGUGCAGCAUAAUCCAAGCACUCAAGUGAGCAACUCACAGGGACUGGCAGCUGCCUGAGUCUUUGGAAGAAGAGUGCUAGGGUUGACCACACUCUGCCAUUUGCUUCCUGUCAAGGGGAUCCGAUGAGUUCUUCACUACACACAUUUAAAGGAUGGCAGGAAGAUGAGAGGG